Molecule: ribosomal RNA, 490 nt
Filed under: uncultured bacterium
Lineage: Bacteria
Description: partial 16S ribosomal RNA
Rfam family: Bacterial small subunit ribosomal RNA
Source: RNAcentral
AUUGAACGCUGGCGGCAGGCCUAACACAUGCAAGUCGAAUGGUAACAGGAAACAGCUUGCUGUUUCGCUGACGAGUGGCGGACGGGUGAGUAAUGUCUGGGAAACUGCCUGAUGGAGGGGGAUAACUACUGGAAACGGUAGCUAAUACCGCAUAACGUCGCAAGACCAAAGAGGGGGACCUUCGGGCCUCUUGCCAUCAGAUGUGCCCAGAUGGGAUUAGCUAGUAGGUGGGGUAACGGCUCACCGAGGCGACGAUCCCUAGCUGGUCUGAGAGGAGGACCAGCCACACUGGAACUGAGACACGGUCCAGACUCCUACGGGAGGCAGCAGUGGGGAAUAUUGCACCAUUGGCGCAUGCCUGAUGCAGCCAUGCCGCGUGUAUGAAGAAGGCCUUCGGGUUGUAAAGUACUUUCAGCGGGGAGGAAGGGAGUAAAGUUAAUACCUUUGCUCAUUGACGUUACCCGCAGAAGAAGCACCGGCUAACUCCGUG